This 304-nucleotide RNase P RNA is filed under the name Nitrososphaerota archaeon. RNAcentral's name for it is "Thaumarchaeota archaeon RNase P RNA component". It matches the Rfam family "Archaeal RNase P". From Rfam's summary of the family: Ribonuclease P (RNase P) is a ubiquitous endoribonuclease, found in archaea, bacteria and eukarya as well as chloroplasts and mitochondria. Lineage: Archaea; Thermoproteati; Nitrososphaerota. The record is from RNAcentral.
GCGAGCGGCGGGGCGGGCCGCGGGGAACUCCCGAGGAAGUUCCUCCCCCAAACGGGAGACGCGUGGCGCCGCGAGGCGCCGGGGGAGACCCCGGGCAACGCCACAGAAACGAGACCCCCUGCAUCCGAGGAGGAUGAGGCGGCGCCUCGAAGCCGUCGAGGAGGAUGCGGGGUCGGGUGAAACGGGCGACCCACGCGGGGAAAGGGGGUGGGGGGCUGAUGAGCGCGUCUCCCGUCGAAAGCCCUCCCGAAGACCGACUAGACGAAUCCCGCCUAAAAACAGAAGGAGGACUACCGCCGCACGC